AGUGAACGCUGGCGGUAGGCCUAACACAUGCAAGUCGAACGGCAGCACAGUAAGAGCUUGCUCUUACGGGUGGCGAGUGGCGGACGGGUGAGGAAUACAUCGGAAUCUACUUUUUCGGGGGGGAUAACGUAGGGAAACUUACGCUAAUACCGCAUAUGACCUACGGGUGAAAGCAGGGGAUCUUCGGACCUUGCGCGAUUGAAUGAGCCGAUGUCAGAUUAGCUAGUUGGCGGGGUAAAGGCACACCAAGGCGACGAUCCGUAGCUGGUCUGAGAGGAUGAUCGGCCACACUGGAACUGAGACACGGUCCAGACUCCUACGGGAGGCAGCAGUGGGGAAUAUUGGACAAUGGGCGCAAGCCUGAUCCAGCCAUACCGCGUGGGUGAAGAAGGCCUUCGGGUUGUAAAGCCCUUUUGUUGGGAAAGAAAAGCUGCAGGUUAAUCCCCCGCUGUUCUGACGGUACCCAAAGAAUAAGCACCGGCUAACUUCGUG
RNAcentral lists this ribosomal RNA (492 nucleotides) under uncultured bacterium. Its description in RNAcentral is "partial 16S ribosomal RNA". It matches the Rfam family "Bacterial small subunit ribosomal RNA", at positions 29 to 507 of the family's 1533-position model. The record is from RNAcentral.